GGGUUUUCUGAAAGGAAAAGUGUAUGCCAAUGAUCCACAGACCGUUCCGGAGUUGAAGGAAGAAAUUAGACGUACCAUUAAUGAAAUUAGUCCGCAAUUAUGCCAAAAUGUCAUUGAAAAUUUUGUCAAAAGAAUGAACGUUUGCAAACAGAGUCGAGGCGGCUAUUUAUCAGAUAUUGUGUUCCACAUAUAACCUCCAUAUUUAUCGUACAGAACUAUGCUCGGAGAUGAACGCGCAGGAUACGAUAUUAUCAAAUAGAAUUAGAGUCGCAAAAGACUUUUGAAUAGAUUUUUGAAUCUUUUUUCAAAAGAGGAUUGGCACAAGAGACAAUGGUAUAGAUGAACGUCUUAUCGUGGCGACUGCUUGGAGACAACUCGUUCCGCGACGACGAGUUACUGUCUUCGAAUCUCGGAUAAGACAAAGAAAGUAUUGCGACACUCAAUCGAGCGUCUAUUCUUCUAUUUGAACAAUAAAAUAAUUAUUCUGCA
This is a long non-coding RNA of Acromyrmex echinatior (Panamanian leafcutter ant), 489 nucleotides long. RefSeq lists it as uncharacterized. The record is from RefSeq and is a predicted model, not a curated record. Lineage: Eukaryota; Metazoa; Arthropoda; Insecta; Hymenoptera; Formicidae.